GAUGAACACUGGCGGCGUGCUUAACACAUGCAAGUCGAACGGAAAGGCUCCUGCUUGCAGGGGUACUCGAGUGGCGAACGGGUGAGUAACACGUGGGUGAUCUGCCCUGCACUUCGGGAUAAGCCUGGGAAACUGGGUCUAAUACCGGAUAGGACGAUGGUUUGGAUGCCAUUGUGGAAAGUUUUUCGGUGUGGGAUGAGCUCGCGGCCUAUCAGCUUGUUGGUGGGGUAAUGGCCUACCAAGGCGUCGACGGGUAGCCGGCCUGAGAGGGUGUACGGCCACAUUGGGGUGGAGAUACGGCCCGGCCCCUGCCGGGGGGAAGGAGGGGGGAUUUUGGCACACGGGGCGCAAGCCGGCUGCAGCGCCGCCGGGGGGGGGAGGGCGGCUUUGGGUUGGUAACCUCCUUUCGCGAGGGACGAAGCGAAAGGGACGGUACCGGGAGAAGAAGCCCCGGCUAACUCCGUG
Molecule: ribosomal RNA, 465 nt
Filed under: uncultured bacterium
Lineage: Bacteria
Description: partial 16S ribosomal RNA
Rfam family: Bacterial small subunit ribosomal RNA
Source: RNAcentral